Long non-coding RNA from Amborella trichopoda, 415 nucleotides. RefSeq lists it as uncharacterized. Lineage: Eukaryota; Viridiplantae; Streptophyta; Magnoliopsida; Amborellales; Amborellaceae. The record is from RefSeq and is a predicted model, not a curated record.
ACUGGUUACUUAAGAAAGGAGAAAGAAGCAUUGUGAUUAUGUCCAAGGAAGAUGAAAGGCGAUUGUAUCAGUGUUUUAGGAAGUAUGAUAUCAUCUCAAAACAGUGAUCUCUCACACACACGCGCAUGUUCUCUCUCUCUCCAAAGAAGCUGAUUAGGUUUUUGGGUGGUUCUUUCCGGUUUGACGAGCUUGUGGAAAUGGUGGAAACAAAUAUCAAUAAAAGAAGCAGACCUCCAAAAAGGCGAAGAGUCUCAUCAUCAAGCUCGAGAGGAAUUGCAGCAACACAAGAAAACAUGGAUGGAGCCCUUGUUGAGACCAUCACAAGGUGUUUCCAAGAGUUGGACGCUAACUCCACCUAACCCUAAAAUGGGCCGUUAAUGUUCUCUCAUAUUAAUUCCAAUGAAUACAUAGACGA